Molecule: ribosomal RNA, 328 nt
Filed under: uncultured eukaryote
Lineage: Eukaryota
Description: partial 18S ribosomal RNA
Rfam family: Eukaryotic small subunit ribosomal RNA
Source: RNAcentral
CCCUUAGAUGUUCUGGGCCGCACGCGCGCUACACUGAUGCAUUCAACGAGUUUCUUCCUGGUCCGAGAGGAAUGGGUAACCUUUUGAAAGUGCAUCGUGAUAGGGAUAGACUAUUGCAAUUAUUAAUCUUCAACGAGGAAUGCCUAGUAAGCGUGAUUCAUCAAAUCGCGUUGAUUACGUCCCUGCCCUUUGUACACACCGCCCGUCGCUCCUACCGAUUGAGUGUGUUGGUGAGGAGUUUGGAUUGGCCUCGGAAGGUGGUUCGCCACCGUCCGUAGCUGAGAAGUUCUCCAAACCGCCCCACUUAGAGGAAGGAGAAGUCGUAACA